Molecule: transfer RNA, 75 nt
Filed under: Trichalus sp. BM0174
Lineage: Eukaryota; Metazoa; Arthropoda; Insecta; Coleoptera; Lycidae
Description: tRNA-Glu
Source: RNAcentral
AUUUCUAAUUUGAAUUUAUAUAGUUUAAAUAAAACAUUACAUUUUCAUUGUAAAAUUAAAUUUUAUCUUUUAUAA